This 465-nucleotide ribosomal RNA is filed under the name uncultured bacterium. Its description in RNAcentral is "partial 16S ribosomal RNA". It matches the Rfam family "Bacterial small subunit ribosomal RNA", at positions 28 to 507 of the family's 1533-position model. The record is from RNAcentral.
GACGAACGCUGGCGGCGUGCUUAACACAUGCAAGUCGAACGGAAAGGCCCCUUUGGGGGUACUCGAGUGGCGAACGGGUGAGUAACACGUGAGUAACCUGCCCUUGACUUCGGGAUAACUUCAGGAAACUGGGGCUAAUACCGGAUAGGAAUCCUUGCUGCAUGGUGGGGGUUGGAAAGCUUCUGGGGUUUUGGAUGGACUCGCGGGUUAUCGGCGUGUUGGUGGGGUAGUGGGUUACCAAGGCUUGGACGGGUAGCCGGCCUGUGAGGGCGACCGGCCACCCUGGGACUGAGAGACGGCCCAGGCGCCUACGGGAGGCAGAAGGGGGGAAUAUUGCACAAGGGGCGGAAGGCGGAUGCAGCAACGCCGCGGGCGGGAUGACGGCCUUCGGGUUGUAAACCGCUUUCAGCAGGGGCGAAGCUUGUGGUGACGGUACCUGCAGAAGAAGCACCGGCUAACUACGUG